CCUACGGGCGGCAGCAGUGAGGAAUAUUGGUCAAUGGCCGGAAGGCUGAACCAGCAAAGCCGCGUGAAGGACGAAGGUGCCAAGCAUUGUAAACUUCUUUUGUCAGGGAGCACAAUCAGGCGCGAGAGCAUGACCGAGUUUACUUUAACAAAAAGCAUCGCCGAGCUCCGUUCCAGCCGACGCGGUAAUACGGGGGAUGCGGGCGGUAUCCGGAUCUCUUUGGUUUAAAGGGUGCGUAGGCGGGCUGUUAAGUCAGCGGUAAAAGCCCGGGGCUCAACCCGGGCGAGCCGUUGAAACUGGCUGUCUUGAGAUGUCGAGAGGUAUGCGGAAUGCGCAGUGUAGCGGUGAAAUGCGUAGAUAUUGCGCAGAACUCCGAUGGCGAAGGCAGCAUACCGGCGGCGAUCUGACGCUGAGGUACGAAAGCGUGGGUAUCGAACAGGAUUAGAUACCCUUGUAGUC
Molecule: ribosomal RNA, 459 nt
Filed under: uncultured bacterium
Lineage: Bacteria
Description: partial 16S ribosomal RNA
Rfam family: Bacterial small subunit ribosomal RNA
Source: RNAcentral